UACAGAGGGUGCGAGCGUUGUCCGGAAUCACUGGGCGUAAAGGGCGCGUAGGCGGCCUGAUAAGUCGGGGGUGAAAUCCUGUGGCUCAACCACAGGGCUGCCUCCGGGACUGUCGGGCUCGAGCACAGUAGAGGCAGGUGGAAUUCCCGGUGUAGCGGUGGAAUGCGUAGAUAUCUGGAGGAACACCGGUGGCGAAGGCGGCAUCCUGGACCAACACUGACGCUGAGGAGCGAAAGCCAGGGGAGCAAACGGG
RNAcentral lists this ribosomal RNA (253 nucleotides) under uncultured bacterium. Its description in RNAcentral is "partial 16S ribosomal RNA". It matches the Rfam family "Bacterial small subunit ribosomal RNA", at positions 524 to 776 of the family's 1533-position model. The record is from RNAcentral.